RNAcentral lists this ribosomal RNA (390 nucleotides) under uncultured Smithella sp. RNAcentral describes it as "bacterial SSU rRNA". It matches the Rfam family "Bacterial small subunit ribosomal RNA", at positions 994 to 1382 of the family's 1533-position model. The record is from RNAcentral. Lineage: Bacteria; Pseudomonadati; Thermodesulfobacteriota; Syntrophia; Syntrophales; Smithellaceae.
ACCGCGUAUGAAAGUACGUUUCACCUCGGGUGACAGGGAGACGAGGUGGUGCAUGGUGUCGUCAGCUCGUGUCGUGAGAUGUUGGGUUAAGCCCCGCAACGAGCGCAACCCUUGUCUUUAAUUGCCAUCAUUCAGUUGGGCACUUUAAAGAGACUGCCGGUGUUAAACCGGAGGAAGGUGGGGAUGACGUCAAAGUCCUCAUGGCCUUUAUGCCCAGGGCUACACACGUGCUACAAUGGGUGGUACAAAGAGAUGCAAUCUCGCAAGAGCAAGCAAACCUCAAAAAAGCCAUCCUCAGUUCGGAUUGGAGUCUGCAACUCGACUCCAUGAAGUCGGAAUCGCUAGUAAUCGCGGAUCAGCACGCCGCGGUCGAAUACGUUCCCGGGCCUU